Molecule: ribosomal RNA, 750 nt
Filed under: uncultured bacterium
Lineage: Bacteria
Description: bacterial SSU rRNA
Rfam family: Bacterial small subunit ribosomal RNA
Source: RNAcentral
GAUGAACGCUGGCUGUGUGCCUAAUACAUGCAUGUCGAGCGAAGCACUUUUGUGCUUAGCGGCGAAUGGGUGAGUAACACGUACUUAACCUACCCUCAAGAUUGGGACAACACUUGGAAACGAGUGCUAAUACCAAAUACGUAUUUUUAUCGCAUGAUAGAUAUAUAAAAGGAGCCUCGGCUUCACUAGAGGAUGGGAGUGCGCUACAUUAGUUAGUUGGUAGGGUAAUGGCCUACCAAGACUAUGAUGUAUAGCGGGGCCGAGAGGCUGAUCCGCCACACUGGGACUGAGAUACGGCCCAGACUCCUACGGGAGGCAGCAGUAGGGAAUUUUCCACAAUGAACGAAAGUUUGAUGGAGCGACACAGCGUGCAGGAUGAAGGUCUUCGGAUUGUAAACUGCUGUUAUAAGAGAAGAAAAACCCUGGUAGGUAAUGACCAGGACUUGACGGUACCUUAUCAGAAAGCGACGGCUAACUAUGUGCCAGCAGCCGCGGUAAUACAUAGGUCGCAAGCGUUAUCCGGAAUUAUUGGGCGUAAAGAGUUCGUAGGUGGUUUUGUAAGUCUGAAGUUAAAUACCGGGGCUCAACCCCGGCCCGCUUUGGAUACUGCAAAACUAGAGUAAUAGAGAGGUUAGUGGAACUCCAAGUGAAGCGGUGGAAUGCGUAGAUAUUUGGAAGAACACCAAUGGCGAAGGCAACUAACUGGAUAUUAACUGACACUGAGGAACGAAAGCGUGGGUAGCAAACAGG